RNAcentral lists this ribosomal RNA (253 nucleotides) under uncultured bacterium. RNAcentral describes it as "partial 16S ribosomal RNA". It matches the Rfam family "Bacterial small subunit ribosomal RNA", at positions 524 to 776 of the family's 1533-position model. The record is from RNAcentral.
UACAGAGGUCCCAAGCGUUGUUCGGAUUCACUGGGCGUAAAGGGUGCGUAGGCGGUUGGGUAAGUCUGAUGUGAAAUCUCACAGCUUAACUGUGAAACUGCAUUGGAUACUAUUCGGCUUGAGGUCUGGAGGGGGGACUGGAAUUCUUGGUGUAGCAGUGAAAUGCGUAGAUAUCAAGAGGAACACCCGUGGCGAAGGCGGCUCUCUGGGACGGUACUGACGCUGAGACGCGAAAGCGUGGGGAGCGAACAGG